RNAcentral lists this ribosomal RNA (253 nucleotides) under uncultured bacterium. RNAcentral's name for it is "partial 16S ribosomal RNA". It matches the Rfam family "Bacterial small subunit ribosomal RNA", at positions 524 to 776 of the family's 1533-position model. The record is from RNAcentral.
GACAGAGGUGCCAAGCGUUAGGCGGAAUCACUGGGCUUAAAGCGUGUGUAGGCGGAAUGGUAAGUACCUUGUGAAAUCCCACGGCUCAACCGUGGAACUGCUGGGUAUACUGCUUUUCUUGAGCCACUUAGGGGCUGUCGGAACAAACGGUGGAGCGGUGAAAUGCGUAGAUAUCGUUUGGAACGCCGAAGGUGAAAACAGCUCGCUGGGGCCGCGCUGACGCUGAGACACGAAAGCCAGGGGAGCGAACGGG